Ornithodoros turicata is the source of this 726-nucleotide long non-coding RNA. RefSeq lists it as uncharacterized. The transcript is spliced from 2 exons. The record is from RefSeq and is a predicted model, not a curated record. NCBI's taxonomy places the organism in Eukaryota, Metazoa, Arthropoda, Arachnida, Ixodida, Argasidae.
UAAAAACGCGUUGCGAUAGCAAGGUGUUUUCGCCGAUAGUGCUCUCAAACGUGCUGUUUCCCUCUUUCUUGAGAGGGAAGCUGAAGCUUAUAUAAACCGCAGCGAAACCAGCGCAAAAAGGAGAGCCAUCCCGACGACUGGUAUGAGCCUCAUCUUCACAGCCGGCGGGUUCCUUCGGCAGCCGAGAGGUUACAGCUGUGGUCUAAUGCAGGGAAUUGCGAUAGGAAUUCCAGCUCCUUCCACAAUGCCGUAGACGCCUGCGACACAGGAAGGGUACAGCAGACGAGUCUCUCCAUAAGCUACUGUGGGAACGGCCUCGAAACCCCGCUACGCCUGUACUUGACGGUACCCACACUCUCCAGCCACGUGAACCCCUCCUCGGGGUACUUCAUCAAUGCCAAGCCGCUGUCCGAGAGAAGAGGUCAUCCUACGUGGUGUGCUGUACAAAGCCCCUGGAUGUUUGCUGACAUCUUGCACUUGCCAGACGUUGCAAAAAGGUGGAAGGGCAUGCGGUAAUGGCAAGGUAUCAUCGCUAAUAGCCCCCCUUCCCCCAAAACACGUAUAAUCCCUCUUUUGUACUGGUAAUAAAUCUGAAGCUUGUUCAGCCGUAGCGCUACACGGGCGCGAAAAAGUGCAUCUUAAGAAUUGUUCUUGGCCGCAGACUGAUUAUGACGCAGUGGGUGUUUUCCAGGGAAUGGCGGUAUAUGAAUAAACUGUUCUGAGAGA